UUUUAUUUGAGAGUUUGAUCCUGGCUCAGGAUGAACGCUGGCGGCGUGCCUAACACAUGCAAGUUGAGCGAUUUACUUCGGUAAAGAGCGGCGGACGGGUGAGUAACGCGUGGGUAACCUACCCUGUACACACGGAUAACAUACCGAAAGGUAUGCUAAUACGGGAUAAUAUAUUUGAGAGGCAUCUCUUGAAUAUCAAAGGUGAGCCAGUACAGGAUGGACCCGCGUCUGAUUAGCUAGUUGGUAAGGUAACGGCUUACCAAGGCGACGAUCAGUAGCCGACCUGAGAGGGUGAUCGGCCACAUUGGAACUGAGACACGGUCCAAACUCCUACGGGAGGCAGCCGUGGGGAAUAUUGCACAAUGGGCGAAAGCCUGAUGCAGCAACGCCGCGGGAGUGAUGAAGGCCUUCGUGGCGUAAAACUCUGUCCUCAAGGAAGAUAAUGACGGUACUUGAGGAGGAAGCCCCGGCUAACUACGUGCCAGCAGCCGCGGUAAUACGUAGGGGGCUAGCGUUAUCCG
RNAcentral lists this ribosomal RNA (521 nucleotides) under Clostridioides difficile. RNAcentral describes it as "bacterial SSU rRNA". It matches the Rfam family "Bacterial small subunit ribosomal RNA", at positions 1 to 547 of the family's 1533-position model. The record is from RNAcentral. Lineage: Bacteria; Bacillati; Bacillota; Clostridia; Peptostreptococcales; Peptostreptococcaceae.